UAUACCACACCCCUGGUUAUCCCUCCUCUGGGUAUUGAGCUGAGGACUAACGUCUACGUUCAGGUUUUAGCUGCCAACCUGACUUCCUAAUACCAUGUGCUUCUGGACCGAUGCUACGUGGCCAUCUUAACAUUCAUUAAUUUCUUUGUAUUGUUAGACAAAAAAGAACCCUCUUCAAUCAAAUUUGGAGAAAGUGUUAGUAGCCAAAUUCAUAUCAAAUGGUUAAUCAUUUUAAGACUGGGCUUGAUUAAAUGUCUUUCCUCCUUUGCAUUCAGACACAGUGUACCUAAAGAAUUUAACUAUCUCCAUCCAUGUUCUUUAUCGAGUGAGCUCAAUGCAAAACUGAGGAGUAGCCACUUUGUCUAGGCACCAAGGUGCCUUCUAAAUUACAUUAAUACGAUUUUUAGAUCAAUCAUUAAUACUCUUUCUGUAUCCAUCGGUGUGUUGUCCUGCCUGUGUGGGCAAUUGUGAGGUUCACCUUUUUUGUAAAGGUGCUCCAUAGAUCAGAUGACCACCAUGCUGGAGAAUGGAGACAGCCAUAGGGCCAUGUUCUACUUCCCUGCCUUCUGCUUCAUUGAGCAGGCAGCAGAACCAGACCGUCUCCACCUACUACUUGCACUGAAUCACACGCCUCUGUGAUCGCAGGACCUUCAAGCAAUUCAACAGGAAGCGGAGGAGGGCUGCAGAAACCCCCAUCGGCCAGGAUGGGAUUUCAGAUGAAGCUCUCUUCACCUCAGGACCCAUCAAGACCAUGGCAG
Oncorhynchus nerka (sockeye salmon) is the source of this 758-nucleotide long non-coding RNA. RefSeq lists it as uncharacterized. Lineage: Eukaryota; Metazoa; Chordata; Actinopteri; Salmoniformes; Salmonidae. The transcript has 3 exons. The record is from RefSeq and is a predicted model, not a curated record.